RNAcentral lists this transfer RNA (74 nucleotides) under Stereum hirsutum FP-91666 SS1. RNAcentral describes it as "tRNA-Gln (TTG) (tRNA-Gln-TTG-4-1)". It matches the Rfam family "tRNA". Rfam says of the family: Transfer RNA (tRNA) molecules are approximately 80 nucleotides in length. The record is from RNAcentral. Lineage: Eukaryota; Fungi; Basidiomycota; Agaricomycetes; Russulales; Stereaceae.
CGCCCGGUAGCUCAAGCGGAAGAGCGAGGAGACCUUGUAUCUCUGUGACGCUGGUUCGAGUCCAGCCCGGGCGG